GACGAACGCUGGCGGCGUGCUUAACACAUGCAAGUCGAACGAAGAGCGACGGAAGCUUGCUUCUAUCAAUCUUAGUGGCGAACGGGUGAGUAACGCGUAAUCAACCUGCCCUUCAGAGGGGGACAACAGUUGGAAACGACUGCUAAUACCGCAUACGAUCUAAUCUCGGCAUCGAGGAUGGAUGAAAGGUGGCCUCUACAUGUAAGCUAUCACUGAAGGAGGGGAUUGCGGCUGAUUAGCUAGUUGGAGGGGUAAGGGCGCACCAAGGCGAUGAUCAGUAGCCGGGCUGAGAGGAUGAACGGCCACAUUGGGACUGAGACACGGCCCAGACGCCUACGGGAGGCAGCAGGGGGGAAUCUUCCGCAAUGGACGAAAGUCUGACGGAGCAACGCCGCGUGAGGGAUGACGGCCUUCGGGUUGUAAAGCUCGGUUAAUCGGGACGAAAGGCCUUCUUGCGAAUAGUGAGAAGGAUUGACGGUACCGGAAUAGAAAGCCACGGCUAACUACGUG
Molecule: ribosomal RNA, 510 nt
Filed under: uncultured bacterium
Lineage: Bacteria
Description: partial 16S ribosomal RNA
Rfam family: Bacterial small subunit ribosomal RNA
Source: RNAcentral